RNAcentral lists this unclassified non-coding RNA (395 nucleotides) under soil metagenome. Its description in RNAcentral is "partial contains 5.8S ribosomal RNA, internal transcribed spacer 2, and large subunit ribosomal RNA". The stretch from base 1 to 122 matches the Rfam family "5.8S ribosomal RNA", at positions 35 to 154 of the family's 154-position model. The record is from RNAcentral.
GAUGAAGAACGUAGCGAAAUGCGAUACUUGGUGUGAAUUGCAGAAUCCCGUGAACCAUCGAGUCUUUGAACGCAAGUUGCGCCCGAAGCCAUCAGGUUGAGGGCACGUCUGCCUGGGCGUCACAUAUCGUUGCCCAAUGCCUAUUGCAGUGCAAUAGGAAUUUCUAGGGCGAAUGAUGGCUUCCCGUGAGCGUUGUUGCCUCGCGGUUGGUUGAAAAUCGAGUCCUUGGUAGGGUGUGCCAUGGUAGAUGGUGGUCGAGUUAGAACGAUACCGAUCAUGUGCAUGCUCCCCAAAAUAUGGCCUCUAUGACCCACACGCGUCUUUUAACGCUCAUGACGAGACCUCAGGUCAGGCGGGGCUACCCGCUGAAUUUAAGCAUAUCAAUAAGCGGAGGA